RNAcentral lists this long non-coding RNA (1522 nucleotides) under Phasianus colchicus (ring-necked pheasant). RNAcentral describes it as "lncRNA (ENSPCLG00000014000.1)". Lineage: Eukaryota; Metazoa; Chordata; Aves; Galliformes; Phasianidae. The record is from RNAcentral.
AGUGGGCCCCAGCUGUUCCUCAUAGUAUUGCAUAAUACAGCAGGCUAAGUUAACUAUAGAUUAAUGAUUAUGAAAUGUCUUGCUUAACCAUAUAAUUUUUCAAACAUACAAGGGAUUGGACAAAAUGUGGUUCACUGAGGUAACAAGAUGACUAUUUUCAGGAGUGGAAAAGGCUUAAGAGGACUGACGGGUGAUGGCUCACUGCUGGAAGCAUUUCUCUAUUUUCAUUACCAAGCAACAGUGCAAGAAGCCAACAGUAUCAUUUGAGGAUUAUCAUGCUCUCUUCUGAAGCUGAGGGUAUUGCAAGACUGUAUAAAACUGAGGUCUCCUACGUCAUCUGAACUCCUGCUGCUGCUCUACAAACUCGACAACAGUUGAGCAACAAGGUAAAUGGUAAAGAAUGAGGACCUCAUCCUACCUCCACUGACCUCAGUGGCUAAGCCGCCGGAGACUUGAGUGGGGAGGCAAGGUUAUGCUCUGUGUGAAGGAAAUAUGCCCUGUUGGAUGCUGCUGUACUAAGAGGCUUAUCUAUAAAGUUUCAUUAGAGCUCAAGGUCCUUUGCAGUCCCUGAUCAUCAUAAAGGGAUAGCAUGAGAAAAGGAAAUUAUAAAAGCAAGUGAGGGUCCAGUGUUUUGGUUUUGGAUCAGUCAAAAAUAAUACAUUCAGAAAAGAUAAAUUACCUUUUGGAGAUUACUAAGGAAAAAUUCAUAGGGUACUAAGGGUACAGAGACAUAACGCUGUUUAAAGUAAAGUAGAUCUGGUGAGACUUCGGAUUGCUUCAAUUGCUCUGCUUCAUCUACUCUUCUAGAAAUUUAGUGUCUGUAAAAGUUGUAUUCAUUUUUCAAACUACAUGCAAACUAGAAUAAUGUAUAAACUCCUAUAAAUUAGGUCAGGAAAUGUCAAUAGAAAUUCCAAUUGCAGGCUAUAGAUCACAGAAACCCAGAGAUGCUUCUGUUGCCCUAAAAUGCAAGAAAGCCUAGAUUUGAUCUGUAACAAAAUGAAAUCAGGUGCAGAUUCAUUUUUUCCUCUUUUCCCUAGAAGUAAAGCAGUCUGCAUGAGUUUUGAUGAGGUAUAGUCCAAACAUUGUUUUCUUUUCAUGUGAUUCUGAAUAUUCAAAGAUUGAUAAACAAUGUAGAAUGAGAAACAGUCAACAAUAUUAAGCAACCCACAUUAAAGAGGGAUAUUUAAAGCUGACAGCAUAGAUUGGCAGUUUAUUUUCUCCUAAGUUACUAAAAUACCAAUAAGAAAACCAUCUUUUAAGUACUUGCUGCUCAACAGAUGAGUAUCAAAAGUUGGGACACAACAGCAUACACUGUUACUCAUCUCUUAUGAUAGUGUGAGCUAUUUAAAGAAACUAAACCAUGGAUUUUCUUCUUGGAUAUGUCCUUGGCUGGAAUUUUAAUCUUAAAUUGAAGACGAUUUAAUUUUUUUGGAGAUGCAACAUAAAAAUAAUUGCCUAUUUUUGUAAAGAAACUUUAAUGCUAAGAAAUAAAGUAGAUCUUGUUCAAAACUGGUGAGUGCUU